GUAGAACAAUACAAAAGAUUAGCGUGGUCCCUGUGCAAGGAUGACACACAAAUUCAUGAUGCAAAAAAUUCCCUU
Gorilla gorilla gorilla (western lowland gorilla) is the source of this 75-nucleotide small nuclear RNA. NCBI's taxonomy places the organism in Eukaryota, Metazoa, Chordata, Mammalia, Primates, Hominidae. The record is from Ensembl.